This 620-nucleotide ribosomal RNA is filed under the name uncultured Alternaria. RNAcentral's name for it is "eukaryotic LSU rRNA". The stretch from base 234 to 387 matches the Rfam family "5.8S ribosomal RNA". Lineage: Eukaryota; Fungi; Ascomycota; Dothideomycetes; Pleosporales; Pleosporaceae. The record is from RNAcentral.
CAGAAUUCGCCCUUGGAAGUAAAAGUCGUAACAAGGUCUCCGUAGGUGAACCUGCGGAGGGAUCAUUACACAAAUAUGAAGGCGGGCUGGAACCUCUCGGGGUUACAGCCUUGCUGAAUUAUUCACCCUUGUCUUUUGCGUACUUCUUGUUUCCUUGGUGGGUUCGCCCACCACUAGGACAAACAUAAACCUUUUGUAAUUGCAAUCAGCGUCAGUAACAAAUUAAUAAUUACAACUUUCAACAACGGAUCUCUUGGUUCUGGCAUCGAUGAAGAACGCAGCGAAAUGCGAUAAGUAGUGUGAAUUGCAGAAUUCAGUGAAUCAUCGAAUCUUUGAACGCACAUUGCGCCCUUUGGUAUUCCAAAGGGCAUGCCUGUUCGAGCGUCAUUUGUACCCUCAAGCUUUGCUUGGUGUUGGGCGUCUUGUCUCUAGCUUUGCUGGAGACUCGCCUUAAAGUAAUUGGCAGCCGGCCUACUGGUUUCGGAGCGCAGCACAAGUCGCACUCUCUAUCAGCAAAGGUCUAGCAUCCAUUAAGCCUUUUUUUCAACUUUUGACCUCGGAUCAGGUAGGGAUACCCGCUGAACUUAAGCAUAUCAAUAAGCGGAGGAAAGGGCGAAUUC